UACAGAGGGGGCAAGCGUUGUUCGGAAUUACUGGGCGUAAAGGGCGCGUAGGCGGCCUUCUAAGUCGAACGUGAAAUCCCUGGGCUCAACCCAGGAACUGCGUCCGAUACUGGAAGGCUUGAAUCCGGGAGAGGGAUGCGGAAUUCCAGGUGUAGCGGUGAAAUGCGUAGAUAUCAUUUGGAACGCCAAUGGUGAAAACAGGUAGCUGGGGCUGUGCUGACACUGAGACACGAAAGCCAGGGGAGCAAACGGG
RNAcentral lists this ribosomal RNA (253 nucleotides) under uncultured bacterium. RNAcentral describes it as "partial 16S ribosomal RNA". It matches the Rfam family "Bacterial small subunit ribosomal RNA", at positions 524 to 776 of the family's 1533-position model. The record is from RNAcentral.